RNAcentral lists this ribosomal RNA (268 nucleotides) under Pseudo-nitzschia fraudulenta. Its description in RNAcentral is "partial Bacterial large subunit ribosomal RNA". It matches the Rfam family "Bacterial large subunit ribosomal RNA", at positions 1640 to 1891 of the family's 2925-position model. The record is from RNAcentral. Lineage: Eukaryota; Bacillariophyta; Bacillariophyceae; Bacillariales; Bacillariaceae.
AACCGUACCCCAAACCGACACAGGUGGGCGAGGAGAGUAUCCUAAGGCGUUUGAGACAACUCGGAUGAAGGAACUCGGCAAAUUGGUGCCGUAACUUCGGGAGAAGGCACGCCGGUGGUAUGUGACGCCCUUCGCGGGUUGAGCAGAAGCCGGUCGAAGAUACCAGGCCCCUGCGACUGUUUAUUAAAAACACAGCACUGUGCAAACACGAAAGUGGACGUAUACGGUGUGACGCCUGCCCGGUGCCGGAAGGUUAAUUGAUGGGGUU